RNAcentral lists this transfer RNA (77 nucleotides) under Chloroflexota bacterium. RNAcentral's name for it is "Chloroflexi bacterium tRNA-Arg". It matches the Rfam family "tRNA". From Rfam's summary of the family: Transfer RNA (tRNA) molecules are approximately 80 nucleotides in length. Their secondary structure includes four short double-helical elements and three loops (D, anti-codon, and T loops). The record is from RNAcentral. RNAcentral also lists the same sequence under 1 other name. Lineage: Bacteria; Bacillati; Chloroflexota.
GCGCUCGUAGCUCAGUUGGAUAGAGCGCAGGCUUGCGGAGCCUGAGGUCGUGGGUUCGAGUCCCGCCGAGCGCGCCA